This 539-nucleotide ribosomal RNA is filed under the name uncultured bacterium. RNAcentral's name for it is "bacterial SSU rRNA". It matches the Rfam family "Bacterial small subunit ribosomal RNA", at positions 1 to 523 of the family's 1533-position model. The record is from RNAcentral.
UAGAGUUUGAUCCUGGCUCAGAACGAACGCUGGCGGCGUGCCUAACACAUGCAAGUCGUACGCGAAAGUCCUUCGGGAUGAGUAGAGUGGCGCACGGGUGAGUAACACGUGGGUAAUCUACCCUCAGGUCUGGGAUAACCCGGGGAAACUCGGGCUAAUACCAGGUAAGACCACGCAACGAGAGUUGCGCGGGAAAAGCCGGGGACUCCUUCGGGAGCCUUGCGCCAGAGGAUGAGCCCGCGGUCCAUCAGCUAGUUGGCGGGGUAAUGGCCCACCAAGGCUAAGACGGAUAGCUGGUCUGAGAGGAUGAUCAGCCACACUGGAACUGAGACACGGUCCAGACUCCUACGGGAGGCAGCAGUGGGGAAUAUUGCGCAAUGGGCGAAAGCCUGACGCAGCAACGCCGUGUGUGUGAUGAAGGCCUUCGGGUCGUAAAGCACUGUCAGGGCCGACGAUGGCGGUUUGGGAGCAAAAUCCCAAGCCGUUGACGGUAAGCCCAAAGGAAGCACCGGCUAACUCUGUGCCAGCAGCCCCGGUCA